RNAcentral lists this ribosomal RNA (460 nucleotides) under uncultured bacterium. Its description in RNAcentral is "partial 16S ribosomal RNA". It matches the Rfam family "Bacterial small subunit ribosomal RNA", at positions 338 to 795 of the family's 1533-position model. The record is from RNAcentral.
CCUACGGGUGGCAGCAGUGAGGAAUAUUGGUCAAUGGGCUUACGCCUGAACCAGCCAAGUCGCGUGAGGGAAGACUGCCCUAUGGGUUGUAAACCUCUUUUGUCAGGGAGCAACGCCGGCUACGUGUAGCCGGACUGAGAGUACCUGACGAAAAAGCAUCGGCUAACUCCGUGCCAGCAGCCGCGGUAAUACGGAGGGUGCGAGCGUUAUCCGGAUUUAUUGGGUUUAAAGGGUGCGUAGCCGGAAUGCCAAGUCAGCGGUAAAAUCGCGGGGCUCAACCUCGCUCCGCCGUUGAAACUGGAGUGCUAGAGUAGGAGAGAGGGAUGCGGAAUGAGUGGUGUAGCGGUGAAAUGCAUAGAUAUCACGCAGAACCCCGAUUGCGAAGGCAGCAUACCGGCGCCCAACUGACGCUGAAGCACGAAAGCGUGGGUAUCGAACAGGAUUAGAUACCCUGGUAGUC